RNAcentral lists this long non-coding RNA (2181 nucleotides) under Salmo salar (Atlantic salmon). RNAcentral describes it as "lncRNA (ENSSSAG00000102974.1, ENSSSAG00000105093.1)". The record is from RNAcentral. Lineage: Eukaryota; Metazoa; Chordata; Actinopteri; Salmoniformes; Salmonidae.
UCUGAGCUUUGAUCAACGCUCUGACUGAUAUUUGGAUAGUGACCCGUAAAUUAUUUUCUUUAUUUUAUAUUUUUCAAAUUAGAAAAAAUACAUAGGUCCGGACCUGUGUCCUCCAUAUGUACACUGAUCAAAAAUGUAAACGCAACAUCCAACAAUUUCAAAGAUUUUACAGAGUUACAGUUAAUAUAACGAAAUCUGUCGAUUGACAUAAAUUCAUUAGGCCCUAAUCUAUGGAUUUCACAUGACUGCGAAGACAGAUGUGGAACUGUUUGUCACAGAUACAUAUAAAACAAAGGUAGGGGUGUGGAUAAGAACCAGUCAGUAUCUGUUGUGAACACCAUUUGCCUCAUGCAGCACGACAUCGCCUUCUUAUAGACUUGAUCAGGCUGUAGAUUGUGAAACAUGCUGUCAUACAUGUCAAUCCAGAGCAUCCUAAACAUGCUCAAUGGGUGACAUGUCUGGUGAGUAUGCAGGCCAUGGAAGAACUGGGACAUUUUCAGCUUCCAGGAACUGUGUAGAGAUCCUUGAGAAACGUGGCUGUGAAAUAUCAUGCUAAAACAUGAGGUAAUGGUGGUGGAUGAAUGGCACGACAAUGGGCCUCAGGAUCUCGUCGCGGUAUCUCUGUGUAUUCAAAUUACCAUCGAUUAAAAUGCAAUUGUGUUUGUUGUCAGUAGCUUAUGCCUGCACGCACAUACCAUAACCCCACUGCCACCGUGGGGCACACUGUUCACAACGUUGACAUCAGAAAACCGCUUGCCCACGUGACGCCAUACGUGCUGUCUGCCAUCUGCCCAGUUCAGUUGAAACCGGGAUAUGUCUGUGAAGUGCACACUUCUCCAGCGUGCCACUGGCCAUUGAAGGUGAGCAUUUGCAGCAGGAAGGUGAGUGCCGUCUGGUAGCCAUGACUGCGGUAGAUGGAACUGCAUUAACCCCCUGAAGUUGGACGCCAAACUGCAGUCAUGGCAAGAAUAUGGUGAUGACGAAGAGCAGUGGAGGUUUUCUUCAGUUGUGCAAACCCACAGUUUCAUCAGCUGUCUGGGUGGCUGGUCUUAGAUGAUCCUGCAGGUGAAGAAGCCGGGUGUGGAGGUCCUGGACUGGCGUGGUUACACGUGGUCUGUGUUUUGUGAAGCCGUUUAGUACACCCAGUAAAAUACUACUUGAAUACAAAUAUUUGUGGGGGGGGAGAGAGCUCCGACUGGGGAAAAAUCGCUUUGAAGCAGCAUACAACUCGGAAUUCCAAGAUGGAAACAAUGGCAUCUUUCUAGUUUUCCGACUUGAAGAUCACUGACGUCAUGUUUUUUUCCCGACGUCCCAGUUGUCUUGAAAGCACCAACUGCCUGAUUGUUGACUGAUGACAUUAGUGGUAACUGAUACACAAAUCAAUGUUGAUAUCUAUUAUAUUGACUGUCAUGUGACAUGUCUAACAAAGAGAUGGUCAGAUGAUGCUGUAUCUGUCCCUCCCUGUGACCAUGUUCUGGAUCUCCAACCAAGCAGAGUACUUUGAAGAAUAUAUUGUGAAGAGGAAGAGGGAGAUUUUCCCACCUGAUGAGAAGAUGCAUAGGAAAGAGCUGGAAUACUUCAAAGAGCGGAUGCGAGACCGGAAGGAGCGGCAGCUACUGAAACGGAUGGCCUUGAAUGAGGCUGAGAAGGAGUGAGGAGGACAGUUCAGAGAGGCAAUCAGAGUAGGACGAUGCCCAAUCAGAAGACUUGCUGUUCCACAGGAGCGGGAGCAGUCUCACUGUCAGGCCUGUGGACUGGAACAUGUGCCCUCUCACAAAAGGCACCUUAUUACCUAUUUAGUAUACUACUUUGACCAUGGCCCAUAGGGCUAUGGUAAAACGUAGUGCACUUUAUAGGAAAAAGGGUGCCAUUUGGGGUUGGAGGAUUUUGGAUGUCGUGGAGCAUGUAGGCUAUACUAUACACCCUUUGAGAGGGUGUUCUGGAGGGGGACCUUAAAGUUACCCCUUUGAACUGAAGUCUCACUGAAAAGCUUUUUAUGAAAUGCUUUAUUUCACUGCAGUCAAACCAUGACUUGACUGUUGAUGAUCUGCUCUGUGAUGGUUUUGAUGUAAACCUUGUGUGUGUGUGAAUGAAAUAUGAGGACAGAAUCAUAUGGCUUGGAAUGUUAUUUAUUUUUUAUGAUUUAGAAUACGUCUUUUGUAAAUGGUUGUUUCAACUCUG